UAUAAUAACCACAUAUUUUCUGAAAUGUUAAAACUCAACAGAAAAAGGGCUGAAAAUGCAAAGUCCAAGGAGCCAGAUGGCUCGAUUGUAAAAUACAGUAAAGCGUAGAGCUAAACUGCAAAGAUUCGUAAGCCUCGGGAUCGAAUCAGAAUUUACUUGGACCCAGUUAACAUUAAGAUAAAGUCCGAGGACUAAAUCGAGAAAUGGCUGAAAGGAUAAGAUGCCCUUUCUUUCUCCUGUGUGGCCAUCCCUGUAACCGUCGCCUCAGCGGCCACGGCCUGGCGUGGCCAGCCACGGCCGGGCGCGGGCGGAGCGCGGCGCACGGGGCGGUCGCGGGGCGCGGCGCGGCGCUGCCGGGCGGCGGCCAGUCGAGGCGGCGCGGCAGGGACGAAACCGCUGGAGCCGGCAACUUGGUUCUGCGGGGACUGAAGCCAAUCGAUGCCACUUGCCAUGGAUGCCUUCGUCCGCCGUCCAGCGUCAAGAGCCGCUGGGGGGCGUUGUUGUGCGUCUCGCGCUGAGGUCGCUACGCCGCCGCAUCGCGAGGAUGCAUGCCAUGGUUGCCAGCGCCGCCACCGGGAGGUCGAGGAUGCGGGCACCGCGCGCUAAGCGCGUGCGGUUGUUUCCAUCGCAGCCGCUCGCCCGUGGGCCGUGGCACGUCUUGCCAUACACCGGCUGGUGCCUCGCUGCAGAGCAGCGGCCACGGGCGCCGCCAUGCUCCUUGAGGGGCGUCUCCAUGUAGGUUGUGAACGGCGCCUCCGGCCGCUGCGGGCUGGAGCGCUGGGCCUCUGCCACCGGUGAUGCAGCCGUGCGGUAGAUCACCGUUGGCACCAUCGGCCGCAACCAGCGUCUCCGCUGCCUUGUGCCGUCAUGCGAGCAGCGAGCGGCUCGAUGGUACUUUCUUUUCUCCUCCUUUACGCACUCAGAUGAGAGCAAUUUGCUUGUGUGCGUAGGCGUACAGCCUUCUUGCCAUUGACGGGAAGUUGCCGAUC
Long non-coding RNA from Triticum aestivum (bread wheat), 989 nucleotides. RefSeq lists it as uncharacterized. The transcript has 2 exons. Lineage: Eukaryota; Viridiplantae; Streptophyta; Magnoliopsida; Poales; Poaceae. The record is from RefSeq and is a predicted model, not a curated record.